AGUUAAUUGUUAAAUCAAUUUAAUUUGAUUUAAAUUAAAUUAUUUAAGUAUCAAAAUAGUAAAUAAAGUAUUAUUUAUUUUAUUAUAUUAUUAGAAAAAUUUAAUUUUAUUAUAGUAAACUAGUAUUGUGAAAGAAAUUUUAAUUUAGAAAUUUAUAAUUUUUUAAGAAAAAUAAAUUUUGUACCUUGUGUAUCAGGGUUUAUUAACUAAUCAUUAAUUAUUUAAUUUUCUCGAUUUUAAAAGAGCUAAUAAAUUAUUAAUUUUAUUGUAAAAUAAAUAUUUAUAAUAACUUAUUAGUAAUGAAAUGUUAUUCGUUUUUAAAUAUAUCUAGUUUUUAAAGAAAAAAAUUUAAUUUUUUAAUUUAAUUAUAAAUUUAUAUUUUUAAAUAAAAUUAUAAUUAAAUUAAUAUAUUUUUAGGGAUUAGCUUAAAAAUAUAUUUUUAUAAAUAAAUAAAAUUUUAUUUAAUUUGUAAAAUUAAAAAUUUUUAUCAUAAUAAUAUGUUAUAAUUAAUUAUAUAAAAAAUAUAAUUUUUAUUUAUUUUAAAUUAUUUAUUUAAAUAAUCUAUUUAAUUUAAAAAUAAAUCUAAUAAUGAUAAAAUUAGUAUAAUUUAUUUUAUAAAUAAUUUAAAAAUUAUAAAUUAAGUAAAGGAAUUCGGCAAAUUUAUUUUUCGCCUGUUUAUUAAAAACAUGUCUUUUUGAUUAUAAUUUAAAGUCUAAUCUGCCCACUGAUUUUUUAAAGGGCUGCAGUAUUUUGACUGUACAAAGGUAGCAUAAUCAUUAGUUUCUUAAUUAGAAGCUUGUAUGAAUGAUUGGACGAAAAAAUAACUGUCUUUAUUUAAAUAAGUUAAAUUUUAUUUUUAAGUCAAAAAGCUUAAAUAUAAUUAAAAGACGAGAAGACCCUAUAGAGUUUUAUAAUUAUUAUAUUAAUAUAUUUUAGUAUAUUUAUUUUAUAAAUAUAAUAUUUAAUUUAUUGGGGUGAUAAAAAAAUUUAAUUAACUUUUUUUAAUUUAAACAUUAAUUUAUGAUAAAAUGAUCCAUUACUUAUGAUUAAAAGAUUAAAUUACCUUAGGGAUAACAGCGUAAUUUUUUUUGAGAGUUCUAAUCGAAAAAAAAGUUUGCGACCUCGAUGUUGGAUUAAAAUUAAAUUUUGGUGUAGUAGCUAAAAUAUUAAGUCUGUUCGACUUUUAAAAUUUUACAUGAUCUGAGUUUAAACCGGUGUAAGCCAGGUUGGUUUCUAUCUUUAAUAUAUAAUAAUAUUUUAGUACGAAAGGACCAAAUAUUAAUAAUAAUUAUUUUAUUAGAAUAAAAUUAUUAUUUUGGCAGAUUAGUGCAUUAAAUUUAGAAUUUAAUUAUGUAUAAAAAUACAAA
This 1367-nucleotide ribosomal RNA is filed under the name Staphylinidae sp. 1 EF-2015. RNAcentral describes it as "16S ribosomal RNA". Lineage: Eukaryota; Metazoa; Arthropoda; Insecta; Coleoptera; Staphylinidae. The record is from RNAcentral.